GCCAUAGUUCAUGGGUAGAGCAUCUGCUUUGCAUGCAGAGGAUCCCAAGUUCAAUCCCUGGCAUCUCCA
This 69-nucleotide transfer RNA is filed under the name Podarcis lilfordi (Lilford's wall lizard). RNAcentral's name for it is "tRNA.Ala". The stretch from base 5 to 61 matches the Rfam family "tRNA", at positions 8 to 63 of the family's 71-position model. From Rfam's summary of the family: Transfer RNA (tRNA) molecules are approximately 80 nucleotides in length. Their secondary structure includes four short double-helical elements and three loops (D, anti-codon, and T loops). Lineage: Eukaryota; Metazoa; Chordata; Lepidosauria; Squamata; Lacertidae. The record is from RNAcentral.